AACAUCAAACAUCCAAACCCUUAUUUGAACUCCGCAGUGGACAUGGACUCAUUAGUCAGUGGUCAAUAGGCGAUGUAGGAGAUGGUGCUGCUUGAGCUCCACAUGGGCAUGAUUAACAGGGAACACGCCUACUGAUAGAAAUACAUAUCUAUAAUAAAAUGAUUCACAGGGAACACGCCUACUGAUAGAAAUACAUAUCUAUAAUAAAAUGAUUCACAGGGAACACGCCUACUGAUAGAAAUAUAUAUCCAUAAUAAAAUGAUUCACAGGGAACACGCCUACUGAUAGAAAUACAUAUCUAUAAUAAAAUGAUUCACAGGGAACACGCCUACUGAUAGAAAUAUAUAUCUAUAAUAAAAUGAUUCACAGGGAACACGCCUACUGAUAGAAAUAUAUAUAUCUAUAAUAAAAUGAUUCACAGGGAACACGCCUACUGAUAGAAAUAUAUAUCUAUAAUAAAAUGAUUCACAGGGAACACGCCUACUGAUAGAAAUAUAUAUCCAUAAUAAAAUGAUUCACAGGGAACACGCCUACUGAUAGAAAUAUAUAUCGAUAAUAAAAUGAUUCACAGGGAACACGCCUACUGAUAGAAAUACAUAUCUAUAAUAAAAUGAUUCACAGGGAACACGCCUACUGAUAGAAAUAUAUAUCUAUAAUAAAAUGAUUCACAGGGAACACGCCUACUGAUAGAAAUAUAUGUCCAUAUGAACUAUUAUAUGAACUAUAAGCCCUAUGUUCCUCUUACUCAUAGCUUAUAUCUCAUUAAUGCCCUAAGUUCCUAUUACUCAUAGCUUAUAUCUCAUUAAUGCCCUAAGUUCCUGUUACUCAUAGCCUAUAUCUCAUUAAAGACUAUAAAGCCUAUGUUCCUCUUCAAAUCUCCCUGAAACACAGCAUAAAUGACUCAUUGGUUAAUUAGAAUGCAUACUUUCAAUUCUAUAAAUAUGCAUCACAUUCAAUUAAAAUCCGAGGCGUUGCAGCAGUAAGCCUUAUCGUGCAUAUCUUGGUAAUAUAACUGGAUACUGCUUAUCGUGUAAUUAAUCUCAAAGAUUGAGAUUACGGGCGACACAGAUACACGCACGCACGCUCACUCUUACGACAAUGGCUGCCGGAUCAUCAG
Molecule: long non-coding RNA, 1117 nt
Organism: Clupea harengus (Atlantic herring)
Lineage: Eukaryota; Metazoa; Chordata; Actinopteri; Clupeiformes; Clupeidae
Source: Ensembl